Molecule: ribosomal RNA, 468 nt
Filed under: uncultured bacterium
Lineage: Bacteria
Description: partial 16S ribosomal RNA
Rfam family: Bacterial small subunit ribosomal RNA
Source: RNAcentral
GACGAACGCUGGCGGCGUGCUUAACACAUGCAAGUCGAACGGAAAGGCCCUGCUUUUGUGGGGUGCUCGAGUGGCGAACGGGUGAGUAACACGUGAGUAACCUGCCCUUGUCUUUGGGAUAACUUCAGGAAACUGGGGCUAAUACCGGAUAUGAGCUCCUGCUGCAUGGGGGGGGUUGGAAAGUUUCGGCGGUGCGGUCUGGACUGGAGGGUUAUCAGCUUGUUGGUGUAGUAGGGGCGUACCAAGGCUUUGACGGGUAGCCGGCCUGGGAGGGUGACCGGGCACAUGGGGACUGAGAUACGGCGCAGAAGCCUACGGGAGGCAAUAGGGGGGAGUCUUGCAGAAUGAGGGGAAGCCUGAUGCAGCAACGCUGCGUGCGGGAUGCCGGCCUUCGAGUUGUAAACCGCUUUCGCCGGAGACGAAGCGUGAUUGACGGUAAUGGGUAAAGAAGCACCGGCUAACUACGUG